UACGGGGGGGGCAAGCGUUGUUCGGAAUUACUGGGCGUAAAGGGCUCGUAGGUGGCCAACUAAGUCAGACGUGAAAUCCCUCGGCUUAACCGGGGAACUGCGUCUGAUACUGGAUGGCUUGAGUUUGGGAGAGGGAUGCGGAAUUCCAGGUGUAGCGGUGAAAUGCGUAGAUAUAGGGGAGAACACUCGUGGCGAAGGCGGCCAGCUGGACCAGCCCUGACGCUGAGGCGCGACAGCGUGGGGAGCAAACAGG
Molecule: ribosomal RNA, 253 nt
Filed under: uncultured bacterium
Lineage: Bacteria
Description: partial 16S ribosomal RNA
Rfam family: Bacterial small subunit ribosomal RNA
Source: RNAcentral